AAAAUACCAAAUGAUGAAAUAAAAAAUAUUAAAAAUCAGAAAUAGAAACUAGAAUUUAUUUGGGAAAUAAUGCAAUUGGUCCCAUAAUUUUUGGAUUAAAAAUGAAGAAGAUAUUGAUUUUUGAAAAUAAUGGAAAUAAAAGAAAUAAAAUCAGAAAUUAAGAAAAUAGAAAAAGCGUGAGCCGUCUGAUGAUGAUUCAUUAAUUGACGUGGAUCAUCACACGGCCAGGAAGCGCGUGUUCAC
Molecule: long non-coding RNA, 243 nt
Filed under: Lathyrus oleraceus (garden pea)
Lineage: Eukaryota; Viridiplantae; Streptophyta; Magnoliopsida; Fabales; Fabaceae
Description: Pisum sativum (pea) long non-coding RNA (PSAT_LNC024355)
Source: RNAcentral